ACAUUUCUGAAGCCCUGCCACCUGCCAUCCCUCGUAGGGAUUCAAGUCCAAAUAGCCAGAGCCUCUGGCAGAGGAGAUGGGGGAAACUGAGGUAGCCCUAGGGUCGUCCUCUCAAGUCAAGCUGCCUGGAGACUGUAGCAGCUACGGUUGAGGCUGCUCAGGAAGCACAGACCGCCCCAGACAGCAGCUGAAGCUGAAGACUCCAGGGCCAGGCCAUCGGGUCAGGCGUUCAGGAACGCGAAAGCUGACGGCUCUGAGCCAGGAGGCUCUUUGGCUGCUGUCCUCUGGGACGAUGUUUGGGGGGCGCGGGGAGCAUCAGGACAGGACUCUCCCGCAGCAGCCCCAGCCCCCACCAGGCGGGGACAGGCCACCAGCUCCAUGCCAGCAAACAAGGAGUCGCGGCUCCACGCACAGCUGCUGGGGCCUCUCUUUGGGCUGUCCGUGCCCCCUGGGAUCCGUUCAGGUCUCCACCGCCUGCUUUCUGCCAGUCUGGCCUCGGCCUCGCUGGGGUCUCCGGGGGCUGGAAUGGGGGAGGCAUCUGGGGGUGGGGUGGGCACAGGGCUGGACGGCAUCCCAGAUGAGGGAGCAGGGCUCCGGGACGAGACCGGGGUUGAACUCAGAGGCUGCAGGAAGACCUGGCUCCCAGGGAGAGGCACAGCGUCGGUCAGCAGACAAAUGGACACCCUCCCCGUCAUAACCCGCCAGGCACUGCCGGAGGGAGUGAACACGUGGCCUGGCACAUCUGGGCAUUUCCAACUGUUGGACGCAGGGUUCUUCCAGCAUGCCCGUUUUAGAAACCCCACUAUGAGGUUCGCCUGCGGUGGUGCGAACCCCAGGCUCACUCGUCGCUCUGACUGAAAGCCAGGGAGAAAACAGGAAGAAAGAAGCUGGGAAUGCCCACAGGCAGAGGGAAGGUGCCAGGGCCUGGCGGCCGGGAGAGGCCUCCCCGUGUGAUUCCAGUGGCCGCCAGGCAGUUCAGAGUGUUCAAGUGCACAGAGAUGAAUGGAACCAUUUCUGCCCUCCGGAGCUUGGGAGUUGAGCAUGAGCUGUGUCAUGGGUGGCAAACUGCAUGUGCAGUCAGGGAGGGCUUCCUGGAAGAGGUAAGUGUGAGGCCAAGACACAAGGGCAGGAACAUUAAGGCAGCGGAGUCUGGGGGCUUCCAGGAAUAGGUAGAGGCCAGUGUACUGUGAGUGCUGCAGAGUUUGGGUGGAAGGCGGGAAGGCAAUGGGGAGGUGAGGACCCUGACUUGCUGCUGCUCCCUCUGCCAGCGGGACAGGGACUUGAGAGGGGGUCCGGGAAGGGCUGACCAGGCGCCGGGCAGGGACGGGGUGGCCGUGGACUGCAGCGUAUCUCCCACUGUACCCUUGGACCCCGGUGUGCGUGUGGCCUCCGCAGCUGCCCACCUUGGUGGCCUUGUUGGUCACAGGUCCCGGGCUGCCCAUGCUGAGCUCCUGCAGCCACGGCCGGGUGCGGAGGAGGAUGUGCUCCUGGGGGAGGAGGUCGCUGCUCCCCAGGGAGGCGAUGGCACACAGCGCCCUCUGCGGGUGAAGGGAGGGGACAUCAGCACCCAUGGGGCAGCAGGUCCACGCCAGGGAGGCCUAUUUGGCCAUCUCUCUCCCUCUUCUUCCUCCUCAUCAAUGACUGGAGUGCCAGGAGGCCCCAGAGACAGCUCCACCACAGCCCUGUCCUCACCGCCUUACACCCCGGAUCCCAGACACCACAGCCCUGUCCUCACCACCUUACACCCCCGCUCCCAGACACCAGAGCCCUGUCUUCACCGCCUUACACCCCAGCUCCCGGACACCAGAGCCAUGUCCUCCCCGGCUCCUGGACAGACCCCAGCGAGAAGCACGUGACCUGCUGCCCCGAUUGCCUUACCUUCAUUCCUCCGCACGCCCCCCGACACACGCACACACGUGUCCACACUUUCAUGUGCAUGCACACACACACAGGCACAUACAUACACAACCACACACAUGCAGUCAUGUACACACACACACAGAUGUGUGCAUACCACACACGUGCACAAGUGUGUACACACCGCACACAUGCACGAGUGUGUACACACACAGGCAUACAUACACAGGCAUACACACCCACACGCACACACACAGGCAUGUGCGCACGCACAGCCACACAGAGGAAUGUUCACACACAGGUGUGCACACAGGCACACGUGCACACACACGCACACGCACACACACGCACACAGGCACAUGCACACAGUCACGCCCUCCCGCCCGCGUGUGCAGCUCACCAGCUGCGUGCAUUCACUGGUCCCACGCAGGUGGCAGGUCAGCAGCUGCAGCACGGCCUCACAGUUGAGCAGUCCACACCUGCACAGAGGGGACACCUGGGUGGCGGGUGCGGCCCGUUCCCUCCUCCCUCGCCCACGGUUGGGGCUGAGGCAGAGCAGGGCGGGUCCGGGCGCACUCACGCUUUGAUGAAGUGCUGUGCCUCCUCGCGGCUCAGGAAGGCGCGUGGUCCCCGAGUCACAGUCCUCACCAAGCUCAACUCCUGCUGACAGUCACUCAGGGCCACCACCUCGACCCUGCCAGGGGGAAUGGCCGGGUCAAGGGUGAGUGGAGGCCAUGCCCCCACUCCUGUCUCGCAUGGGGGAGAACCUGGAGAGCAGGAGCCGCGCUGGGAGGGGGACAGUGUGGUGCCUCCGAGACCUCUCCCACAUAUCUGGCAGCUCCCGCUCACCUUUCUGCCAGGUCACCCGGCUCCCGGCUGGCCCCUGAAUGGCUGUCGCUGCCGGAAUGACUGCCCGAGUCCGAGACCCUGCUCAGGUCGCUGUUCUGGGAGGAAUUCUGAGAGCUGGGGCCGCUGUCCAGCUCAUCCCAGCCCCCUCCGGCCUGCCCAGGCUGAUGCCUCACAGCUGGAGGAAACAGGACAGCCGGUGAGAUCCCUGGGGCUUCAGGCCAGCCCCAUGCCCACCUCCCGGGGCCCUGGACCAGGAGGCCUCGGGGGCUGAGUCCUGAGCUGAGGAUGGGUGGCCACCUUGGCUCCAGCUUCAGCAAACACCAGCCCCAUGGGCAUGUGCUUCCGCCGCGGGUCCCACCCCUCCUGCUGUGUGGGAGGCCCUGGGAUUUGCCUCCGUGGCCGCAAAGCCCCAGCGGUGACAGGAAGGAGUGACCCAGACCCCAAGGGGAGGAGCCCUCGCCUCGAUACCUCGGGGACCUGGAAUGGCCCCGGGGAGUAGGUUCCCCAGGGUUGGGGGACCGUGGCUGGCUGAAGGCAUCAUGGCAGGCUGGUAGGUGUCACCCCGCGGCAGGAGCCUCCGGGUACUGGGACUCUCGGGCCCGGGGCGCAUGGCGCUGGCCACCACCUCUGCGGCCUUCUGGAUGGUGGAGAGGAAGGCUUCGCCUGCCGAGCCUGUACCCGAGGAGAGGGAGAUGGGACGGCCGCCCAGUGCGGCCCCCACCCGCGUUCUCUGGGAGCAGGGUGCCCGCAUCGGCUCCCUGCUCAAGCUUGGAGAGGUCGGGGUACAUGCUGCAGGUAGGGAGGCCUCCUGGUGGGCCCCAGGCCCUCUGGAAGCUCCCAGUGGACUCCGCUUUGGCAUUCCCACUCCCAGUGGGCCUGGACACCAAAGCUCACUGCAGAGUUAUGCCUCCGUCCCUCUGUCCUCUGGGGGUGAAGGUGUCCUAAGGGGCUUGGGCUUGGCCUUGGCUCAGGGAGGGUGUGUCCAGGGCUCGGGGAGGGGCCGGCCUUUCCUGUGUGAGUUCCCUGUAGAAGCUGCCCCGACACCAAAGUGUCGGCAGGAGCCCCAGGCUGUGCGCAGGACGGCGUGACACAGCCUAACGGUGAGCAGCUACACACCGCCCAGGGCCCGGCAGCAGGGCACAGCUGGGCUGGGGGCUGGGUCCCAGCCGCAGGCAGUGGUGCCACCUGUGGCUCUCCUGGCGCUGGUGAGCAGUUGUCCACUGGUACUGCCCCACCUCAUAACAGCUCCACACGGGACUGCCUGAGUCACCUGCACCACAGCCAGGGGCACAGCCCUCGGCCCCUCUCAGAGUGGGACUCACCCCUGCCACGGGGCCCAGCCCUGACUUCUUGCUCGGCCUGGUUUCUCUCAUCUGUCCAUAAAGCAGCCCUGGCCACACCUGCCCCACCCCCACGUCAGCAGCCAGAGAGAGACAGUGGGGACAGCCCCAGGAAGGGUUGAGGCCAUGUAGGGGAGGGGACGGGGGACAGCAGCUACUAGAUGGGGCGGCAUGGUCCGGCCCCCACCACCUCCUCAUCCCCACACCCUGAGAUGCCAGAGCCCAUGCAGGCCCUCCCCACUCACCCGUGCGGCCGUGUUCCUUGCUGUAGCCGAAACCCUGGAGGGUGCUGUGCGGCCUGGCCUGGGAGCCCAUGCCUGCAGAGGGUCCUCCGUUAGCAGCAAGCCGGCCCCCACCCUCGGCCCUGCCCACGGAUGGCACAGACACCCAGGACACUCAAGGAGGCAGAAACCAGGAGGAGGGGCACCCCGCAGAGCGACACUGCUCCUGGGCUCACCUG
RNAcentral lists this long non-coding RNA (4506 nucleotides) under Homo sapiens (human). RNAcentral describes it as "TEPSIN antisense RNA 1". Lineage: Eukaryota; Metazoa; Chordata; Mammalia; Primates; Hominidae. The record is from RNAcentral.